AUACUUACCUGGCAGGGGAGAUACCAUGAUCAGGAGGAUGGUUUUCCCAGGGUGAAGCUCACCCAUUGCACUUUGGGUGUGCUGACCCCUGCGAUCUCCCCUGUGUGAGAAACUCAGCUGCAUAGUUUGUGGUGGUGAGGGACUGCGUCUGCCCUCUCCCCAG
Phyllostomus discolor (pale spear-nosed bat) is the source of this 163-nucleotide small nuclear RNA. RefSeq annotates it as U1 spliceosomal RNA. The transcript has a single exon. Lineage: Eukaryota; Metazoa; Chordata; Mammalia; Chiroptera; Phyllostomidae. The record is from RefSeq and is a predicted model, not a curated record.